Molecule: ribosomal RNA, 582 nt
Filed under: Trichoderma virens
Lineage: Eukaryota; Fungi; Ascomycota; Sordariomycetes; Hypocreales; Hypocreaceae
Description: eukaryotic LSU rRNA
Rfam family: 5.8S ribosomal RNA (bases 221-374)
Source: RNAcentral
CCACGCGGAGGGAUCAUUACCCGAGUUUACAACUCCCAAACCCAAUGUGAACGUUACCAAACUGUUGCCUCGGCGGGAUCUCUGCCCCGGGUGCGUCGCAGCCCCGGACCAAGGCGCCCGCCGGAGGACCAACCAAAACUCUUAUUGUAUACCCCCUCGCGGGUUUUUUACUAUCUGAGCCAUCUCGGCGCCCCUCGUGGGCGUUUCGAAAAUGAAUCAAAACUUUCAACAACGGAUCUCUUGGUUCUGGCAUCGAUGAAGAACGCAGCGAAAUGCGAUAAGUAAUGUGAAUUGCAGAAUUCAGUGAAUCAUCGAAUCUUUGAACGCACAUUGCGCCCGCCAGUAUUCUGGCGGGCAUGCCUGUCCGAGCGUCAUUUCAACCCUCGAACCCCUCCGGGGGGUCGGCGUUGGGGAUCGGCCCUUUACGGGGCCGGCCCCGAAAUACAGUGGCGGUCUCGCCGCAGCCUCUCCUGCGCAGUAGUUUGCACACUCGCAUCGGGAGCGCGGCGCGUCCACAGCCGUUAAACACCCCAAACUUCUGAAAUGUUGACCUCGGAUCAGGUAGGAAUGCCCGGCUGAACA